Molecule: ribosomal RNA, 339 nt
Filed under: Nematoda environmental sample
Lineage: Eukaryota; Metazoa; Nematoda
Description: bacterial SSU rRNA
Rfam family: Eukaryotic small subunit ribosomal RNA
Source: RNAcentral
GGUGGAGUGAUUUGUCUGGUUUAUUCCGAUAACGAGCGAGACUCUAACCUACUAAAUAGUGACGGGAUAAUUUCGUCUUGGUUACUUCUUAGAGGGAUUAGUGGUGUUUAGCCACACUAGAUUGAGCGAUAACAGGUCUGUGAUGCCCUUAGAUGUCCGGGGCUGCACGCGUGCUACACUGGAAGAAUCAGCGUGUUUUUCCUGCUCCGAAAGGAGUGGGUAACCCGCUGAAACCCCUUCGUGAUUGGGAUCGGGGCUUGAAAUUAUUCUCCGUGAACGAGGAAUUCCCAGUAAGCGCGAGUCAUAAGCUCGCGUUGAAUACGUCCCUGCCCUUUGUAC